CAGAGUUCUUUAUCAUCAAGAAAUACCCAACAAAAUUGGUAUCAAAGCCAAGAGGGUUUCUGGAUGUGCUUCUUUACACAAGUUAUUCUUUAGGUCGAAGAAAAAAUAUUUUGAAUCUGAAUUUUUUUUUAAGAUCUGUCGAUUUUUUAAAGGAUCUGACAAAAUUUUUUCACUAAUAAUCUUAUUUUGUGACUUUUCAGUGAGUAACGGUGGACUUAUCACCACUUGGCCACUGGUGAUUGUGUUCUUGGUCUCAGGAUUGAUCCCUUUUUUACUGUUUUUCACAAACAGUAGUUUGGGGAGAAAUUUCCAUAAAUCUUUAUAAUUGUUGAACUAUUGAUGCAUGUUUAUUGAUAUAUGUAACUACAUAGUUACUUUCUUGUAUGGAAGAUGAAUCUGACUUGCAUGGACAUAUGUCUGCUCAAUGAUACGUUAUGUUUCGAAAUUGCUUAAGACUGCAGCUUGCAAUUCUUGAUACAUAAUUACUGUCAUUGUGAUCAUUAUUGAUAUUAAUAUAAUUCUUGAUCAAAAAUCAUACUUAUCUGCUUCAAUUACUAUAUUUUGAUAAGUGCUUUAAAUUGGAAUUUUUUUAAAAACCUUUUCUGUUAAUAGUUUGAUCUGCACAUGAGAUCACACUAUGUCCAUGAGUGUUGCCACCCUUUUACACAACCUGCAAUGGGUUUACAGGUCAAAUUAAGUCAAUUCGAUGGAAAGAGAGACUACGCUAUAUGGAAACAGAAAAUGAUGGCCAUUUUGGUCCAACAGAGGGUUGCAAAAGCCCUUGAUGCUCCAGAAAAAUUUCCUGAUGAACUUAAAGCUAAACCUAGUGAAAUUGAAGAGAUGAACGAAAUUGCAUAUAGUUCAAUAAUUUUGCAUUUAUCUGAUAACAUGGUUAGACAAAUUGAUGAGUCUAAGACUACUAGAGAUUUAUGGACUGCUCUUGACAAUAUAUUUCUGACCAAAACUUUACCAAAUAAAAUCUAUCUUUUGGAAAAACUAUUUAGUUUCAGAAUGGACCCAGAAGUAAAGUGACCUUUCUGAAAUAACGAUCCAGAAAGGUGUAUCUCGAUGCAACUUUUUCUCAUUCAAUCUUUCUAUGCUCAAGAAAAUCCUGAUGUACUUCAUAUUAGAUGUUGACAUGUUAUUAUGGUUACCCAAAAUUACUAAAGAAUCUGUUUGCCACUUAAUUCAAUCUCUCAUUUACAGCCUAUAUCAUUAUUUACUUCCAUAUUUCUCCAAAUGAAUCCUGGAGAUAUUCUAUGUUCCUGGCAAUGAUUUGGUCAAACUUCAUUAUCAACCACAUACCACGUAUUAAAAUGGAUUAUUUUCCACUGGACAGUGUAACGGAAACUUCCAAAUGAAAAUGGCUACUCGACGGUUGGUUUUUCAGAUUCAUUUUUCUUGUUACUAGUCUCUCUCUGGAGCCUUCUUCGAGAGAGAUUUUUCAUCUCUUUCUUCUCUUUGGUUAAAUUUUUCUUGUGUAAUUGUAUUUUUACACUCGGCCUUAAUAAUUUGUGGGUUGGUUUUUGUGGCUGUUGGUUUCGGUUUGUGUAAACUAUGGAGUUAGGGCUAAGUACUGUGGAAGGAUUUGUGUUUGGUUUCGUAGAUCUGUUGAUCAAUGAUCGAAACUUGUGUAUUCUGAGUGGUUUGAUGUAACUUUGGUUCUCUUGGACGGCAAUUUGCAGUGCAAUUUAGCACUUGUUCGUGCUUCUUCAAAUGCAAUACUUUAACUUAUAUCCAAUAAAUUAAAUGUGCGAAACUUCAAAACAACAAAAAACUAUGCCAUACACAGUUUCCUCUCUGCCUAUAGAAGCUAAAAGGAAAAAAGUUUGCAGCAAACUUACAUAGAGAGAGAGCAAUUAUACAUCACAGAGACAUAUAUAGAGCAAUGCAUCAAAUUUAUGUUGCAUGAUUAUAAUUUACAAAACCGCACUGCAUGCUCAAUCCGUCAUAAGAAAAUUCCUAUUUUCAGCCUUCACACAACUGAAUCAAACCACAAAAAUUCACAACGAAUUCAAAAAAAUGCAUCAGGCCCCAAGCAGCAAGCACUUGAAUUUUGAUUUCUAGGCUCCAGUCAUGGUUAAUUACAUAAGUACUCCUGAGAAUUGCAAUGAAGUUUAGUUUUCAAACAAGAAUGUCAGGAGGGUUUCAAUAAAUUUCCUCACCUAUUAAGUAAAGCUCAGGCUGGAAUUGUCAAUGCCAUUAGCCUUCACCAUCACCUGCCUUGGUCACCUUCUGUCCCGCCAAAACCGCACAAAGCCACCUCUGUCAAGGAACACCACAACCUGCCACCACUACCAUCACCCACCGUCUCUCAACCCAACACCUCCAUGAUAUUGUCGUUGCAACACCACUGUUGCUUUAAACUCUCACAAACCACCUCUGCACUAUGCUGAACAAUGACGAUGGAGAGUCAAUGGAUUUGAAAUCAACAUAAAGUGAGCCUCAAAUUGGUUAGGUUUUAUGGUGAACUUAUAACCUUAGAAAGUGUGAGUUAUCAAACACCAUUACCGGAUUUGGGAAAUUGAUUUCAAAUCCAUCAAUCUAAAUGGGAUCCUCAAAGAUUUGCCUUAACCAAUAAAAAAUGACCUAAAAGCUGUAAUAAAAAGCCCAGACAUCAAAUUAAUGCCACUAACCCUUUACCGGCGGCAUUAAUUCAAUAUGUUGAAUAUUUGGUGCAAAGUAUUAGUACAUCCACUUCCCACUCUGACAUGGAGUGAUAUCAAUUUUGCACCUUUUAUUCUAGCAUCAGUAAAGUGACCUUUCUGAAAUAACGAUCCAGAAAGGUGUAUCUCGAUGCAACUUUUUCUCUUUCAAUCUUUCUAUGCUCAAGAAAAUCCUGAUGUACUUCAUAUUAGAUGUUGACAUGUUAUUAUGGUUACCCAAAAUUACUAAAGAAUCUGUUUGCCACUUAAUUCAAUCUCUCAUUUACAGCCUAUAUCAUUAUUUACUUCCAUAUUUCUCCAAAUGAAUCCUGGAGAUAUUCUAUGUUCCUGGCAAUGAUUUGGUCAAACUUCAUUAUCAACCACAUACCACGUAUUAAAAUGGAUUAUUUUCCACUGGACAGUGUAACGGAAACUUCCAAAUGAAAAUGGCUGCUCGACGGUUGGUUUUUCAGAUUCAUUUUUCUUGUUACUAGUCUCUCUCUGGAGCCUUCUUCGAGAGAGAUUUUUCAUCUCUUUCUUCUCUUUGGUUAAAUUUUUCUUGUGUAAUUGUAUUUUUACACUAGGCCUUAAUAAUUUGUGGGUUGGUUUUUGUGGCUGUUGGUUUCGGUUUGUGUAAACUAUGGAGUUAGGGCUAAGUACUGUGGAAGGAUUUGUGUUUGGUUUCGUAGAUCUGUUGAUCAAUGAUCGAAACUUGUGUAUUCUGAGUGGUUUGAUGUAACUUUGGUUCUCUUGGACGGCAAUUUGCAUAGUGGAACGGGUUCAACUACUGAGCCCCCCAAAUUAGGCCGUGUUUGGUUGAACUAGGUCAACAAAUUUCGUUGUUUUGUCUUGUUUUUCGUUUUAUCAUUUGAGUACUUUGAUUUAUUGUUUUCAGUCAGAGUUCUUUAUCAUCAAGAAAUACCCAACAAAAUUGGUAUCAAAGCCAAGAGGGUUUCUGGAUGUGCUUCUUUACACAAGUUAUUCUUUAGGUCGAAGAAAAAAUAUUUUGAAUCUGAAUUUUUUUUUAAGAUCUGUCGAUUUUUUAAAGGAUCUGACAAAAUUUUUUCACUAAUAAUCUUAUUUUGUGACUUUUCAGUGAGUAACGGUGGACUUAUCACCACUUGGCCACUGGUGAUUGUGUUCUUGGUCUCAGGAUUGAUCCCUUUUUUACUGUUUUUCACAAACAGUAGUUUGGGGAGAAAUUUCCAUAAAUCUUUAUAAUUGUUGAACUAUUGAUGCAUGUUUAUUGAUAUAUGUAACUACAUAGUUACUUUCUUGUAUGGAAGAUGAAUCUGACUUGCAUGGACAUAUGUCUGCUCAAUGAUACGUUAUGUUUCGAAAUUGCUUAAGACUGCAGCUUGCAAUUCUUGAUACAUAAUUACUGUCAUUGUGAUCAUUAUUGAUAUUAAUAUAAUUCUUGAUCAAAAAUCAUACUUAUCUGCUUCAAUUAC
Molecule: long non-coding RNA, 4096 nt
Filed under: Olea europaea (common olive)
Lineage: Eukaryota; Viridiplantae; Streptophyta; Magnoliopsida; Lamiales; Oleaceae
Description: long non-coding RNA (OEUR_LNC006456)
Source: RNAcentral